Molecule: ribosomal RNA, 305 nt
Filed under: uncultured bacterium
Lineage: Bacteria
Description: partial 16S ribosomal RNA
Rfam family: Bacterial small subunit ribosomal RNA
Source: RNAcentral
GGGGGCCUACGGGGGGCAGCAGUUGGGAAUAUUGGACAAUGGAGGAAACUCUGAUCCAGUGACGCCGCGUGAAGGAAGAAGGUCUUCGGAUUGUAAACUUAUUUUAUCAGGGAAGAAAAAAAUGACUGUACCUGAAGAAGAAGCACCGGCUAACUACGUGCCAGCAGCCGCGGUAAUACGUAGGGGGCAAGCGUUAUCCGGAAUUACUGGGUGUAAAGGGAGCGUAGACGGUAAUGCAAGUCUGGAGUGAAAGGCGGGGGCCCAACCCCCGGACUGCUCUGGAAACUGUGUAACUGGAGUGCAGG